GAUGAAGAACGCAGUGAAAUGCGAUAAUUAAUGUGAAUUGCAGAAUUUAGUGAAUCAUCGAAUCUUUGAACGCACAUUGCGCCCCUUGGUAUUCCGGGGGGCAUGCCUGUUCGAGCGUCAUUUCAACCCUCAAGCUCUGCUUGGUCUUGGGCCGCGCCGGCAACUGCGGGCCUCAAAAACAGUGGCGGCGCCAUCUGGUCCCUCAGCGUAGUAAUUCUUCUCGCUGCUGGGCCCCGGUGGCCGCCUGCCAGCAACCCCAAACUUUCUAUGGUUGACCUCGGAUCAGGUAGGGAUACCCGCUGAACUUAAGCAUAUCAAUAAGCGGAGGA
This 329-nucleotide unclassified non-coding RNA is filed under the name soil metagenome. RNAcentral describes it as "partial contains 5.8S ribosomal RNA, internal transcribed spacer 2, and large subunit ribosomal RNA". The stretch from base 1 to 120 matches the Rfam family "5.8S ribosomal RNA", at positions 35 to 154 of the family's 154-position model. The record is from RNAcentral.